This 581-nucleotide ribosomal RNA is filed under the name Bacillus subtilis. RNAcentral describes it as "bacterial SSU rRNA". It matches the Rfam family "Bacterial small subunit ribosomal RNA", at positions 53 to 616 of the family's 1533-position model. Lineage: Bacteria; Bacillati; Bacillota; Bacilli; Caryophanales; Bacillaceae. The record is from RNAcentral.
ACAUGCAAGUCGAGCGGACAGAUGGGAGCUUGCUCCCUGAUGUUAGCGGCGGACGGGUGAGUAACACGUGGGUAACCUGCCUGUAAGACUGGGAUAACUCCGGGAAACCGGGGCUAAUACCGGAUGGUUGUUUGAACCGCAUGGUUCAAACAUAAAAGGUGGCUUCGGCUACCACUUACAGAUGGACCCGCGGCGCAUUAGCUAGUUGGUGAGGUAACGGCUCACCAAGGCAACGAUGCGUAGCCGACCUGAGAGGGUGAUCGGCCACACUGGGACUGAGACACGGCCCAGACUCCUACGGGAGGCAGCAGUAGGGAAUCUUCCGCAAUGGACGAAAGUCUGACGGAGCAACGCCGCGUGAGUGAUGAAGGUUUUCGGAUCGUAAAGCUCUGUUGUUAGGGAAGAACAAGUACCGUUCGAAUAGGGCGGUACCUUGACGGUACCUAACCAGAAAGCCACGGCUAACUACGUGCCAGCAGCCGCGGUAAUACGUAGGUGGCAAGCGUUGUCCGGAAUUAUUGGGCGUAAAGGGCUCGCAGGCGGUUUCUUAAGUCUGAUGUGAAAGCCCCCGGCUCAACCGG